UGUUCAAGGGUGAAGUUCCAAAACAUUGGAGGUCUCCACUGUCCCAGGUACUUGCCUAUACUACCCCACAAACCCUGCCACUCAUAAUUAUCCAGCCUCGGGGCAGAUCUCUGGGUGGUAUUCUUAAAUAGUUUUUUAACCUUAAACAAGACCUGGAACACAUUCAGGAGACAUAGCAAUAGGAACAUGCUGGUUUGAAUAUCCCAAGGAUAUUCCAGAUUCUCAAGAGCUAUUGUAACUAGCCUGGAGGAGAAGGGGAAGAUGAAGCAGCAGGAGAAAGUGUCCC
Molecule: long non-coding RNA, 286 nt
Organism: Aquila chrysaetos chrysaetos
Lineage: Eukaryota; Metazoa; Chordata; Aves; Accipitriformes; Accipitridae
Exons: 3
Source: RefSeq, a predicted model, not a curated record